UAAAAAUUUAAUUUAAAAUAUUUAAGUAGUAUUAGUUAAGAUCUUUAAAUUUAAAAAAUUUGGCGGUAUUUUAGUCUAUUCAGAGGAACCUGUUUUGUAAUCGAUAGUCCACGAUGAAUCUUACUUAAAUUUGUUUUAGUUUAUAUAUCGUCGUUAAAAGAAUAUUUUAUAAGAAUAAUAAUUUUCUUAAUUUUUAAUUUAAAAUAUAUCAGAUCAAGAUGUAGCUUAUGUUUAAGUUUAUAAUGGGUUACAGUUAUUAUAUUAUUGGAAAUUAAUAUGAAAUUUAUUAUUUGAAAUUGGAUUUGAUAGUAAAUUUAUAUAGAUUGAUAAAUUGAUUAUAGCUCUAAAAUAUG
RNAcentral lists this ribosomal RNA (353 nucleotides) under Clistoabdominalis ruralis. RNAcentral describes it as "partial 12S ribosomal RNA". Lineage: Eukaryota; Metazoa; Arthropoda; Insecta; Diptera; Pipunculidae. The record is from RNAcentral.